This 208-nucleotide ribosomal RNA is filed under the name uncultured Glomus. RNAcentral's name for it is "partial 18S ribosomal RNA". It matches the Rfam family "Eukaryotic small subunit ribosomal RNA", at positions 1626 to 1831 of the family's 1831-position model. Lineage: Eukaryota; Fungi; Glomeromycota; Glomeromycetes; Glomerales; Glomeraceae. The record is from RNAcentral.
GAUCGGCGAUCGGUGAGUAUUACGUCCCUGCCCUUUGUACACACCGCCCGUCGCUACUACCGAUUGAAUGGCUUAGUGAGGCCCUCGAAUCGACUCUCAGAGACUGGCAACAGUUUCCGUCUGUUGAGAAGUUGGUCAAACUUGGUCAUUUAGAGGAAGUAAAAGUCGUACCAAGGUUUCCGUAGGUGAACCUGCGGAAGGAUCAUUA